UACAGAGGGGGCAAGCGUUGUUCGGAAUUACUGGGCGUAAAGGGCGCGUAGGCGGCCUGCUAAGUCGAACGUGAAAUCCCCGGGCUUAACCUGGGAACUGCAUUGGUGACUGGCAGGCUUUGAGUGUGGCAGAGGGAGGUAGAAUUCCACGUGCAGCAGUGAAAUGCGUAGAGAUGUGGAGGAAUACCGAUGGCGAAGGCAGCCUCCUGGGCCAACACUGACGCUCAUGCACGAAAGCGUGGGGAGCAAACAGG
This 254-nucleotide ribosomal RNA is filed under the name uncultured bacterium. Its description in RNAcentral is "partial 16S ribosomal RNA". It matches the Rfam family "Bacterial small subunit ribosomal RNA", at positions 524 to 776 of the family's 1533-position model. The record is from RNAcentral.